CACCUGUCUGUCAGCAGUCCGGAUGGUCCGUUCAGUCUCCGCCUCCUGCGUGAGGUCACUCAACUCUACCUUGUAGCAGCCGGCACGGGGUUCACGCCCAUGCUCGAGUGAUCCGAUUGGCCCUCCAGGACCUGGGCUCACUCAGGAAAACCAAGCUGAUGUUCUUCAACAGACAGGAAAGAGACAUCCUGUGGCACUCUGAACUUGAUGGCCUCGCAGCUGAAGAUGAGAGGUUCCAGGUGGAGUAUGUUCUGUCAGAGC
Molecule: long non-coding RNA, 261 nt
Organism: Salvelinus sp. IW2-2015
Lineage: Eukaryota; Metazoa; Chordata; Actinopteri; Salmoniformes; Salmonidae
Exons: 3
Source: RefSeq, a predicted model, not a curated record